CCUGCAUGAAGUUGGAAUUGCUAGUAAUCGCGGAUCAGCAUGCCGCGGUGAAUACGUUCCCGGGCCUUGUACACACCGCCCGUCACACCAUGGGAGCCGGUAAUACCCGAAGUCAGUAGUCCAACCACGUGAGGACGCUGCCGAAGGUAGGAUUGGCGACUGGGGUGAAGUCGUAACAAGGUAAC
RNAcentral lists this ribosomal RNA (185 nucleotides) under uncultured bacterium. Its description in RNAcentral is "partial 16S ribosomal RNA". It matches the Rfam family "Bacterial small subunit ribosomal RNA", at positions 1315 to 1500 of the family's 1533-position model. The record is from RNAcentral.